RNAcentral lists this long non-coding RNA (1667 nucleotides) under Trifolium pratense (red clover). RNAcentral's name for it is "long non-coding RNA (TPRA_LNC004890)". Lineage: Eukaryota; Viridiplantae; Streptophyta; Magnoliopsida; Fabales; Fabaceae. The record is from RNAcentral.
CCGGAAGUGAGUCAACCAGUUUGACGUUACACAAGUUCCUUGAUAAGCAUAGCUUAUUGUUUUGCUGAAGUCUUUUCAAAGCUUUAUAAAUUUAAAUCAUGAAAGAUAAGGUAAUAACUAUGACUUACAAUUAAUUUCGAAUGUCAUCAAUCUAAACUUGUUGGGAGCAUAGGCUCUAGAAAUUGGUAUUCUGAUUCAUACCACAAUCAUAGUUCAAUACUAAGUGGAUAAUCUUUCAUUUUCACUUGUUUAUAGUAACAGAGUGUGGUUGCUUGAUUUGGUAAGAAAACAAAUUGAAUUCUGUAAUUCAUUUAAAUCUAUAAAAAUUUCAUUUGAAAAAGAAAAAAAAAAUUGAAUCUUGCUAUUGUUGUAUUUUCCUUCCAUCAAUAAAUAGAGGUAGAGAGAAAUGUCAAUACAUUCUUAGACUUUCUGUUCUUAACACUGUUAUUUGGUCAAAUCCCACAUAGUAGAGUAUUGAAAAGAGAAUGUCAGAUUGUACAUAUUUCUGGUAUUUCUCCAUAGAAAUAUUGUUUGUAAGCCUUAAGCCAUUUUCAACUGAACAGCAUAACAAGGAUAAUGUAAGGACUAAUCAGCUUAUGUGAGGUUUCUUAGAAAUCUAUCUGAUGAUCACUUUUAGCCUAAAUUUGCCUUACAAUUUAUACAAUUAAUUUAACAUGGUUUCUAUUUUUUCCUUCAAAUAUUACAACAUACCACUAAAUCUGAUAGGAGCAAAGUUUUAAGCUAGAGGAAAACUAUAUCUCAGUUCCAGCUCUUCUAUUUAUACCAAAUUAUAUCUUAUGUAUGAACAACAUAUAAACCAUGAACUACAUUACUUCUGUUAGAAAUAGCUGUACUGAUGCUGUAUUACACUUGACUUUUCAUUUUCCUCUCUCUGCAUUUAAAUGUUGGUUUUAAAGUAUAUUGUUUAUGUGAAAUUUUUACAAAGUUUGUGCAAUGUCUAUGGUGAAACAUGUAAAAUAUUUAUUCUAAUAAUUCACUUUUUUGUUACCUAACAAAUUGUUAUUGCUGAUUGGGUUUCCAGAAAAUAAAUAAACUGUAUGAAUGUGUUUGAAAGUAUUUCAACUGAAUAAGUGAAUGUGAAUAUGUAACAGUAACUGGUGAUUAAUUUUACUCAAUUGUGUAAAAAAGGCGAUGUCAACUGAUAUUGUUUAUUCUUCAACUUCGCGUUUUAAAUUGUGAAAAACUAUGAUUGAAUGACUAUACAAAAUUGUUUUUAUUUUCUUUUAAAUUUUGUGUGCUGCAAUGAUAAUGGUUUGAAGUAAUUGACAUGAUAUAUAAUUGUUAUUUUCUUGGAUUGUGAGGAUCUGUUGUGGAGUUGAAGUUGGUCUGAUUCAUACCACAAUCAUAGUUCAGUACUAAGUGGAUUUUUUUUAUUCUUCCCAUCUUGUAUGUGGACUAUAUUUGUGAGGGUUGGGUGUGGAGUAUAUAUUGGUGAUGAUAUAUAAUUGCUAUUUUUUUUUUAUCCUCAAAAUUUUGUGUGUGAUGGUCUAAUAUCAUUUGUUUUAAUGUCUGGAGUCUCAACUUGUGCGUAUUUAAAUUUGCAGCAUAAGCUGACAGGCGGCUAAGCUUGCACAUGCAUCAGAUGUGCAGUCACCACUAGAUGACGAUGCUUGAACACAAUGAUAGCGGGAUGAGGAUGUUGGCUU